RNAcentral lists this long non-coding RNA (1479 nucleotides) under Homo sapiens (human). Its description in RNAcentral is "HSALNT0067777". Lineage: Eukaryota; Metazoa; Chordata; Mammalia; Primates; Hominidae. The record is from RNAcentral.
GUUCAAGGGAUGGGGACGAUCAGGGUCUCUGGGAAGUGCUGACGUGUGCGCGUGUGCGGUGUGUUGCUUGUGGGUGCGUGUGUGGUGUGUGCAUGUGUGUGCGCGCGCGUGUGUGCGGGGUGUGCCGUGAGCGUGUGCCCGCGGUUCGGGGGAUGAGUAGGGGCGCUGACUUUUAGGACCAGCCAUUUGAGUCAAGCUGGAGACGACGUCUUAGAACCUAGGAUGAGUCUCGUUUGGUUUUAGUCUGCAAAGCUCGUCUGCAUCAGACAGGAAUUUUCCCCAGACGCGGGUGCACGUGAAUUAAUUCAUCAGAAGGCGGUUCACGGCCUGAGUGAGGGGGACGAGGGCGGCGAAUUCCUCCGCCUCAUUCCUACCCUGACGAUUCGAGAGUGGCUGUACCAUUUUGCAUUCCCAGACCGAAGUGUGAAAGCUCCAGAUGCCCCACGCCCUCACCAGCCCACGGUGUUGUCAGCCUUAAUAGUGCUGACCAUUCUGCCUGUUAAUAUGAUGAAUUACACUGAUUCAGUUUCAAAUGUCCAACCAAGCUUGCACUCCAGAGAUGAAGCCCACUUGAUCACAUGGAUUAUUCUUUUAAUAUAUGAUGGAUACGACUUGGCUGUUCUUUUGUUGAGGAUUUUUGUGUUUAUGUUAAUGAGGAUAUUAUUUGUAGUUUUCUUUUCUUGUAAUGUUUUUGUCUUUGUUCAGUGUCAGAGUAAUGCCAACUUCAUAAAGUGAGCUGGGAAGUACUCCCUCAUUUUCUGUUUUCUGUGAAAGAAUUGUAUAGAAUUGAUGUUAUUUCUUCCUUAAGUGUUGAGUAGAAUUCACUUGCAAAGCCAUCUGAGGUUGACAUCUUCUUUGGGAAUGACUUUAGCUAUAAAUUCAAUUUAUUUAACAGAUAUAGGGCUAUUAAGGUUAUUUAAUUUUUUUCUUGAAUGAGCUUUAGUGUCCUGUGUUUUUCAAGGAAUUUUUCCAUUUUAUUUAAGUUUUUAGAUUUGUUGGCAUAAAGUUAUCCCAAUAUUUCCUUAGAAGUUGUGACUUUUACUGCAUAUAAAACAUACCUCAAUAAAGCUAAUACAUACAUAUAUAUAUAUGAAUCAUUUCUGGCCAGGUACAGUGGCUCAUGCCUGUAAUCCCAGCACUUUGGGAGGCAGAGGCAGGUGGAUCACCUGAGAUCAGGUGUUCCAGACCAGCCUGGCCAACAUGGGAAACCUGUCUCUACUAAAAAUACAAAAAUUAGCCAGGUGUGGUGGCAUGCCCCUGUAAUCCCAGCUACUUAGGAGGCUGAGACAGAAGAAUCGCUUGAAUCCGGGAGGUGGAGUUUGCAGUGAGCUGAGAUUGCACCACUGCACUCCAGCCUGGGCAACAGACUGAGACUCCAUCUCAAAAAAAAAAAAAAAAAUCCCUUUUUAUCUAAAGGAUCUGUAGUGAAGUCCCCUCUUUCAUUUCUGAUAUUGGUAAUUUGUGGGGUUUUUUUGUUUU